GCAGCACAGACGCUUCCACCCGGGACUCAGCUGACCGCACCAUUAUUGCCUGGGAUUUCCGGACCUCUGCCAAAAUCUCCAACCAGAUUUUCCACGAGAGGUUCACCUGCCCCAGCCUCGCCUUGCACCCGAGAGAGCCCGUGUUCCUGGCACAGACCAAUGGCAACUACCUGGCCCUUUUCUCCACUGUGUGGCCCUACCGGAUGAGCAGACGGCGGCGCUAUGAAGGGCACAAGGCUCAAGAAUGGCUGUUUUGGUGAAAAGAGUUGCAC
This 272-nucleotide long non-coding RNA is filed under the name Homo sapiens (human). RNAcentral describes it as "HSALNT0215832". Lineage: Eukaryota; Metazoa; Chordata; Mammalia; Primates; Hominidae. The record is from RNAcentral.